UUGGCUCAGAGAUUAGAGCAUCACAUUUGUAAUGUGAUGAUCAUUGGUUCGAUUCCGAUA
Molecule: transfer RNA, 60 nt
Filed under: Solanum lycopersicum (tomato)
Lineage: Eukaryota; Viridiplantae; Streptophyta; Magnoliopsida; Solanales; Solanaceae
Rfam family: tRNA
About the family: Transfer RNA (tRNA) molecules are approximately 80 nucleotides in length. Their secondary structure includes four short double-helical elements and three loops (D, anti-codon, and T loops).
Source: Rfam by way of RNAcentral